GCCCGCGGCGGGCGGGAGCCGAGGCGCUGCGGCGGCGGCGGGCGGGGGGGCUCCACGCGCCGCUUCGUGCCCCCCCCCCCAAUCCUCCUCCUCCUCUUCCUGCUCCCCUUUCUCCGCCGCCACCGGCCCGCGGCCCUGCACCAUCGGCAGGCCGGGCCGAGCCGUGCCGGGGCUCCGGGCACAGCCCCGAGCAGAGCCCGCAGCCCUGCCGCCGCGCCCCCGCCCGCCUGUCUGUUUUCCCUUUGUACUUUCCAUCCCGCUGUACCCCCCAUCUCCUCAUCCCAUAACGUUUUUUUUUUUUUUUUUUCCACAGGAAUAAUGUGUUAAUCAAUCUUUUACUUUUGUUUCCGGAUCUGACAUGGUGGCCCACACAAUCUACAACAUUAACAAAAAGGUCACUUAGAGAUAAAACACGUUUGACAAGUGAAGAACAAGGCAAGUGCUUUAGGGGUCGCGUCCAAUUCCUGACCUGGACUCCGACCAGAACAGGCGCUGAUCCUGGAAGGGGUGGGCGAGAGGAAGGACUUCCACUUUCUCGCCUUUAUAUCUGCUGAACCAAGUCCCUUUUCUUCCCUCGAAACACCGAUCUCCCCCAGCCCCUUAGCAGAUGGAUCAGAUAGCCUUUAAUGAUCUUCUCUCCUUACGAGGUAGACAUAAGGCACGUUUUCCUAGAUAUCCUCCCCACCCCCCCGUAAAGCGGUACCCUUUAAAUCCUGCAGCCAAAAAGUUCAUAUGCUCAAUGGAUGACAAAGUAAGGCUGCAGUAUGAGAGUGCGAAGAGUUUUUUUCCAGACCAGCUUCAUUCAGAAGGCCAAGGUAUGCUUUUCCUGUGGAAUAUUAUGAGGUGUCUCAGGAAAACAAAAACAAACAAACAAAAAAAAACCCUGCAGCCUCCACAGAUUCAUCCACUUACCAGUCCUCGUCGUGGGCACUAG
This 934-nucleotide long non-coding RNA is filed under the name Anser brachyrhynchus (Pink-footed goose). Its description in RNAcentral is "lncRNA (ENSABRG00000010082.1)". The record is from RNAcentral. Lineage: Eukaryota; Metazoa; Chordata; Aves; Anseriformes; Anatidae.